RNAcentral lists this ribosomal RNA (254 nucleotides) under uncultured bacterium. RNAcentral describes it as "partial 16S ribosomal RNA". It matches the Rfam family "Bacterial small subunit ribosomal RNA", at positions 524 to 776 of the family's 1533-position model. The record is from RNAcentral.
UACGUAGGGUGCAAGCGUUAAUCGGAAUUACUGGGCGUAAAGCGUGCGCAGGCGGCUUUGCAAGACAGAUGUGAAAUCCCCGGGCUUAACCUGGGAACUGCAUUUGUGACUGCAUCGCUGGAGUGCGGCAGAGGGGGAUGGAAUUCCGCGUGUAGCAGUGAAAUGCGUAGAUAUGCGGAGGAACACCGAUGGCGAAGGCAAUCCCCCUGGGCCUGCACUGACGCUCAUGCACGAAAGCGUGGGGAGCAAACAGG